RNAcentral lists this ribosomal RNA (426 nucleotides) under Ameerega hahneli. Its description in RNAcentral is "partial 16S ribosomal RNA". It matches the Rfam family "Bacterial large subunit ribosomal RNA", at positions 1953 to 2532 of the family's 2925-position model. Lineage: Eukaryota; Metazoa; Chordata; Amphibia; Anura; Dendrobatidae. The record is from RNAcentral.
GAAGGAGCGUAAUCACUUGUUCUUUAAUGAGGACUAGUAUGAAUGGCCCCACGAGGGCUGCACUGUCUCCUUUUUCUAAUCAAUGAAACUAAUCUCCCCGUGAAGAAGCGGGGAUAACCAUAUAAGACGAGAAGACCCUAUGGAGCUUAAAACAACUGAAACAUUUGCUUUUACCUUAACUGCCCCAGGGCUCUUUAUUUUACCUAAGCAUUUUUAUUUCUAGUUUUAGGUUGGGGUGACCACGGAGCAAAACUAAACCUCCACGAAGAAAUGAAUUCUUUUUAAGCCACAAACUACUUUUUUAAGCAUCAACAAAUUGACCUUCAUUGACCCAAUAUAUUGAUCAACGAACCAAGUUACCCUAGGGAUAACAGCGCAAUCUACUUCAAGAGCUCAUAUCGACAAGUAGGUUUACGACCUCNAUGU